AUCAAAGUCCCCACUUUUGCAUGCUGCAUAAAGUGCACCUAAAAACUCUUGUGGAAUGACCCCAGACACACUUAAUAGGUCCUUAGACGAAAUUGUUGAUCCAAAUAAGCGAGCAGCUCCUUGCAAGUAUGUGAUAGCCCGACGAAGAUCACCUUGUGAUAUAGAGCUUAAGGUUGAAAGAGCCUCUGCAUCCAGACUAAGGCCUUCUUCAUUGCAAAUGUGCAAUAUACGACUGCUCACAAUUUCUUCUGAAAGUGGCUUGAACCUAAAUUUGGCACAUCUUGAAGCAAGAGGCUCUAUGAUCCUGCUGAUAUAAUUGCAUAAGAAAAAGAAUCUCGUAACUUUGGAGUAAGUUUCCAUCGUGCGUCUCAGAGCAUUCUGAGCAUCUUCAGUCAUUGAAUCUGCCUCAUCUAGUAUAAUGAUCUUAUAUGGUGGACAAGGGUAAGCCCCUCCAUGCUGACCAGAACGUACAGCCACAGCAGCAAAAUCCUUUAUCUUAGUCCGGACAACAUUGAUACCACGAUCAUCACUUGCAUUUA
Molecule: unclassified non-coding RNA, 539 nt
Filed under: Hevea brasiliensis (rubber tree)
Lineage: Eukaryota; Viridiplantae; Streptophyta; Magnoliopsida; Malpighiales; Euphorbiaceae
Source: RNAcentral